RNA transcript from Populus nigra (black poplar), 1471 nucleotides. RefSeq lists it as uncharacterized. The record is from RefSeq and is a predicted model, not a curated record. Lineage: Eukaryota; Viridiplantae; Streptophyta; Magnoliopsida; Malpighiales; Salicaceae. The transcript is spliced from 7 exons.
GAAAGAAGUUUAGUAGAGGAAUUCGCGGGAAGAAACACCGGAGCAGAGAACAAAAAAACUAACCUAAACAACAGUCUUUACUCUGUCUUAAUCUUCCUUCCUUAAAUUCAUUAUCAUCUCAUGGCUGUUCUUGUUCAAUACAGUUAUUAUUAUUCUCUUCUCUAUAAUUCUUGUAGAAGAACAACCAGACCCUUUUCUCCUUUUAAGCUAUCCUCACCCACCCGUCUUGAUCUAUCCUCAUCUUAUAAUACUCCAAUCAGCCACAGUUCAAGAUCAUUCAAGUUACCUAGAAACAGGUGUCAUAAGGUUGUUGUCUCUGAAGAAGCGAGCACUGUUGGGUCCGCUUCUGCUGCCACUGACACUGAUGUGUUCAGGCUCACUUACUUAGAGGGGAAUAGCUGGUUGUGGGAGGUAGGCGGGGCUAUUAUUUUGGUCGACCCAAUCUUGGUGGGUAACUUAGAUUUUGGAAUUCCCUGGCUUUAUGAUGCUGCCAAGAAGGUCCUUAAGAAUUUCCAGCUUAGUGAUCUUCCUCAAGUGGAUUGCCUGUUGAUCACUCAAAGCCUCGAUGACCAUUGCCACUUAAAGACCCUAAAGCCACUUUCUGAAUCAUCUCCAAAUCUCAGAGUCAUUGCAACUCCAAAUGCUAAGCCUUUGCUGGAUCCCCUUUUUAGUAAUGUCAUUUAUCUAGAACCUGGUGAGAGUUCUGAAUUUGAUGCCAGAAAUGGCUCUAAAGUUGGAGUCAAAGCAACAGCAGGGCCAGUUCUAGGUCCUCCUUGGCAGCGCCCUGAGAAUGGAUACCUCAUCAAUUCUCCACGAGGUCAAUUAACACUCUACUAUGAGCCUCACUGUGUAUAUGACAAGGAUUUUCUUGAGAAGGAGCAUGCUGACAUUGUUAUCACACCAGUCAUCAAACAGCUUCUGCCUAAAUUUACUUUGGUUUCAGGACAAGAAGAUGCAGUUAAACUUGCAAAGUUGCUGCGUGCCAAGUACCCAGCCUGUUUAUUGUACCAAUGAAAAAUGGAGACCUCGAUGGCAAAGGGUUUCUUGCCAGUAUCAUUCAGGCAGAGGGAACAGUAGAAUCAUUCAAGGAGCUUUUAGCAAAGGAACUACCAGAUACUCAGGCACUUGAGCCCACCCCUGGUGUGCCGCUGGAAAUUUCAGCACCUUUAAAUUUUUAAGGUGCUCGUACGGAUCAUAUUUUAGUAAAUAUACUGUUUCAUCAAAUAUGUAAAUUUCCAUAUCUCUUUUCUUUUUUUAGCUAGUUGAUAACGUUGAAACGGAUCAUCUAGGACUAUUAAGGGCGAGGGGGUAAAAGACAACCAAAGUAAAGGGAAUGAUCUCUGUAACUUGAAUUGGAUUUUUCUUUGACCGUUGUAGUAUUAUGGAAAAUUUUGGCUCCCUUGCUAUGUAUUACGUGGGUCUUUUCUGAAUAUUAUCUAUAAAAAUGAAUAGAAAAUGACUUUGCUAUUAA